This 1053-nucleotide ribosomal RNA is filed under the name Escherichia coli. Its description in RNAcentral is "partial 23S ribosomal RNA". It matches the Rfam family "Bacterial large subunit ribosomal RNA", at positions 472 to 1529 of the family's 2925-position model. Lineage: Bacteria; Pseudomonadati; Pseudomonadota; Gammaproteobacteria; Enterobacterales; Enterobacteriaceae. The record is from RNAcentral.
ACUCCUGACUGACCGAUAGUGAACCAGUACCGUGAGGGAAAGGCGAAAAGAACCCCGGCGAGGGGAGUGAAAAAGAACCUGAAACCGUGUACGUACAAGCAGUGGGAGCACGCUUAGGCGUGUGACUGCGUACCUUUUGUAUAAUGGGUCAGCGACUUAUAUUCUGUAGCAAGGUUAACCGAAUAGGGGAGCCGAAGGGAAACCGAGUCUUAACUGGGCGUUAAGUUGCAGGGUAUAGACCCGAAACCCGGUGAUCUAGCCAUGGGCAGGUUGAAGGUUGGGUAACACUAACUGGAGGACCGAACCGACUAAUGUUGAAAAAUUAGCGGAUGACUUGUGGCUGGGGGUGAAAGGCCAAUCAAACCGGGAGAUAGCUGGUUCUCCCCGAAAGCUAUUUAGGUAGCGCCUCGUGAAUUCAUCUCCGGGGGUAGAGCACUGUUUCGGCAAGGGGGUCAUCCCGACUUACCAACCCGAUGCAAACUGCGAAUACCGGAGAAUGUUAUCACGGGAGACACACGGCGGGUGCUAACGUCCGUCGUGAAGAGGGAAACAACCCAGACCGCCAGCUAAGGUCCCAAAGUCAUGGUUAAGUGGGAAACGAUGUGGGAAGGCCCAGACAGCCAGGAUGUUGGCUUAGAAGCAGCCAUCAUUUAAAGAAAGCGUAAUAGCUCACUGGUCGAGUCGGCCUGCGCGGAAGAUGUAACGGGGCUAAACCAUGCACCGAAGCUGCGGCAGCGACGCUUAUGCGUUGUUGGGUAGGGGAGCGUUCUGUAAGCCUGCGAAGGUGUGCUGUGAGGCAUGCUGGAGGUAUCAGAAGUGCGAAUGCUGACAUAAGUAACGAUAAAGCGGGUGAAAAGCCCGCUCGCCGGAAGACCAAGGGUUCCUGUCCAACGUUAAUCGGGGCAGGGUGAGUCGACCCCUAAGGCGAGGCCGAAAGGCGUAGUCGAUGGGAAACAGGUUAAUAUUCCUGUACUUGGUGUUACUGCGAAGGGGGGACGGAGAAGGCUAUGUUGGCCGGGCGACGGUUGUCCCGGUUUAAGCGUGUAGGCUGGU